This 301-nucleotide ribosomal RNA is filed under the name uncultured bacterium. RNAcentral describes it as "partial 16S ribosomal RNA". It matches the Rfam family "Bacterial small subunit ribosomal RNA", at positions 509 to 807 of the family's 1533-position model. The record is from RNAcentral.
CAGCAGCCACGGGAAAACCGAGGGUGCAAGCGUUAAUCGGAAUUACUGGGCGUAAAGCGCGCGUAGGUGGUUUGUUAAGUUGGAUGUGAAAGCCCCGGGCUCAACCUGGGAACUGCAUCCAAAACUGGCAAGCUAGAGUACGGUAGAGGGUGGUUGAAUUUCCUGUGUAGCGGUGAAAUGCGUAGAUAUAGGAAGGAACACCAGUGGCGAAGGCGACCACCUGGACUGAUACUGACACUGAGGUGCGAAAGCGUGGGGAGCAAACAGGAUUAGAGACCCCGGUAGUCCCUGUCUCUUAUAC